AUCCUACUAUAUAAAAGGUACUAUUUUAGGAGCUUCUAAGGGGUGCCACAUAGACAGAAAUAUUUCCCACCAAUCAAUAUGCCAUGUCACUACAGGCUGAGUCUCAAACCAAUUUGAAGUUCCGGCCCAACCUUGCCCCAUUCCGGCCCAACCUUAUACAUGUGGAGAAUAUUUCUAAAAACUAAAAUACCACGGACGGUCCAACUCUAAAUUUAAAAAAAAGUUUCCAAUUAUCUAAAUAUCUAGAGAACACUCAGCCUCCCCCUAAUCACCAAAAUAGGUUGCUUAUGUCCAUUUGAAUGAAGACGUCCAUUACGCUCUUUCUAUACGAAAUAGAUAACUGCUUGAAAGAUGAACUUGUGUUGUGUUUUGACGGUUAAUAGAAAGUAAAAUGAGAAGAAAUUAUUCAAUAGAAAUUGCAUAGAUUUUUUUUGAAUAACUGAUAAAAUAUUAUUGAGUAUAUUAUUUUAUAUCAAGUAAAAUAUAUUGAAACCCUUCCUUUUGUGCUAAACACAUCUUAAAUGAGAUGAUAUAAUUAUCAAUGAACAGAAAAUUUGAAAUGCGUUAUUUUACAUUUUUGGGAACAUCAUUUUUUUUCCGUAGAUAUUCCCUACAUAUUAAAAGAGAAACAUUACAACUUUUGAACCAUGACACAUGUCAUCACGAAAAUCAAGCUUAGAAAAAUAAGUUGGUUCAUCUAAACAUAUUUAUACUGUUCAUUAACCCUAAUCAUAUAAUUAAUUAUUAAUAUAAAAAUAGUAUUCAUUAUUUCCUUGAAUAGAACAUACGGAAUUAUAAUAUAUAUGAUAAUUAAUGAUUUUAAAUAAUAAAGAUUUGAUAAUAUUUUGUCUCAUGUGGCACCCAUAGAAUUACUUCAUUCCUAGGAAGGUUGACAAAAUCUUUUAUUUGCAACACUCUGAAUGUGGUAAAUAUAUGAGAUAUACUUUAAAAAAUAUGCAAAAAAAAAAAAUAUCUAAUGUUUCAGUUGUUAACUUCUCAAAUAAAUAAAGUUAAUAUCUAUAAUUCUCUUAUAUUUGUAUCUAUAAUCUGUUUAUAUAACGAUUUAUGUAUUUCUAA
Molecule: long non-coding RNA, 1077 nt
Filed under: Brassica napus (rape)
Lineage: Eukaryota; Viridiplantae; Streptophyta; Magnoliopsida; Brassicales; Brassicaceae
Description: long non-coding RNA (BNAP_LNC025850)
Source: RNAcentral